GUGGUUGUAGCUCAGUGGUAGAGCACUUGUCUAGCAUAUGCGAAGCACUGGGUUUGAUUCUCAGCACCAUA
This 71-nucleotide transfer RNA is filed under the name Marmota marmota marmota (Alpine marmot). It matches the Rfam family "tRNA". From Rfam's summary of the family: Transfer RNA (tRNA) molecules are approximately 80 nucleotides in length. Their secondary structure includes four short double-helical elements and three loops (D, anti-codon, and T loops). Lineage: Eukaryota; Metazoa; Chordata; Mammalia; Rodentia; Sciuridae. RNAcentral also lists the same sequence under 2 other names. The record is from Rfam by way of RNAcentral.